This 468-nucleotide ribosomal RNA is filed under the name uncultured bacterium. RNAcentral's name for it is "partial 16S ribosomal RNA". It matches the Rfam family "Bacterial small subunit ribosomal RNA", at positions 28 to 507 of the family's 1533-position model. The record is from RNAcentral.
GAUGAACGCUGGCGGCGUGCUUAACACAUGCAAGGCGAACGGAAAGGAACAAGCUUGGGUGGGGAAGGGAGUGGAGAACGGGUGAGUAAAAAGUGGGUGACAGGUGUGGCAUUUCGGGAUAAGCUUGGGAAAAUGGGUGUAAGACUGGAUAGGACGAUGGUUUGGAUGUCAUUGUGGAAAGUUUUUUCGGUGUGGGAUGAGCUCGCGGCCUAUCAGCUUGUUGGUGGGGUAAUGGCAUACCAAGGCGUCGACGGGUAGCCGGCCAGAGGGGGUGUACGGCCACAGUGGGACGAAGAGACGGACCAGAGUCCUACGGGAGGCAGCAGUGGGGAAUAUUGCACAAUGGGGGCAAGCCUGAGGCAGCGACGCCGCGUGGUACAUGACGGCCUUCGAAGUUUACACUCCUGUCGCUAAGGACAAAGCGUGUUUGUGACUGUACCUGGAGAAGAAGCACCAGCUAACUACGUG